UUUCCGUUGGUGAACCAGCGGAGGGAUCAUUACAGAGUUGCAAAACUCCCAAACCUUUGUGAACGAAACCUCUCCCGUCGCCUCCGCGGACGCCCCCAGCCCCGUGCCCGGCGCCGCCUGACCACCCGUGGGCGCCCGCGGGAGUUAAAUCAAACCCUUGAAUUGUAUGGCCUCUCUGAAUCUUCUGUACUGUAUCAGGCAAAACUUUCGACAACGGAAAUCCUGGAUCUCACACCGAUGAAGAACGCAGAAGAUCGGAAAAGCACAAGUCCGAACUCC
RNAcentral lists this unclassified non-coding RNA (279 nucleotides) under plant metagenome. Its description in RNAcentral is "partial contains small subunit ribosomal RNA, internal transcribed spacer 1, and 5.8S ribosomal RNA". The record is from RNAcentral.